This 263-nucleotide ribosomal RNA is filed under the name uncultured bacterium. RNAcentral's name for it is "partial 16S ribosomal RNA". It matches the Rfam family "Bacterial small subunit ribosomal RNA", at positions 524 to 786 of the family's 1533-position model. The record is from RNAcentral.
CACGUGGGUGGCGAGCGUUAUUCGGAUUUACUGGGCGUAAAGGGUCCGCAGGGGGCCUGCCACGCCUGCCGUGAAAUUCCAAGGCUCAACCUUGGACCUGCGGCGGGUACGGGCGGGCUAGAGUGCAAGAAGGGCAGACGGAAUUCCAGGUGUAGCGGUGGAAUGCGUAGAUAUCUGGAAGAACACCGAUGGCGAAGGCGGUCUGCUGGCUUGUAACUGACCCUCAGGGACGAGAGCGUGGGUAGCAAACAGGAUUAGAUACC